CUUUUUUUUAUAAGAACAGUAAAUUUUGGGAACAGAGCCUUUAUACUAACAACAGAAACUACAGUGUCAAUAUUUUUGCAGUUUCUAAAGACUGACUCAGGUUUUCAUCAAUACCCCUUGAUUGUGUUGGUUCAAUUUAUGCAACUGGUUAAAAAAUUUUUUGAAGAAGGCUCAAUCAAUACUGUUUACAAUGCUUUGUACAACUCCCUGUUUGUUUAUUUCCUUUCUAUCAUUCUCCUUAUUCAGUAAUGCUCCACUCUGUCCACUGCAUUCCCAACAAAGAACUUCACCACCUCCUUAGAUAUGCCUUCCCACUAUGAAGUUAUCAUGCCAUAGCUUUGGGGAAAGGGACCACCCCCUUAUUUCCAGUGAAGGCCCAUUCUUAUUCUCUGUGAUAGAGUGACAGUGAAAUAAAGAAGGCAGAUGAAAAAAAAAUUGUUUUUAGCAAAUUUCCCUGGGUGUUCCUUUUAAAAAGACCCCUGGGUCUGACACUAACCUCAGUAUCCAUAAUAAGCUGUCUUGCUGUAUAGCCCAGUGCCAUAACUUAAAACUAGAUGACUAGAAUAUUUCCCUCUUUUCCGUUUCAACUAUGAUGCUUCUCCAUUAACUCAGGAAAUUGAAAACUUAGCUGUAUUGCACUAAAAUAAUCUACCUCUGGAGUUCAGAGGGAAAUUUCAAAUGAAAUUUAUAUAACAAUAUUCCCAAUAUGUCACCUUUAUCUGUUUUUAGUUAUAUUUUAUAAGAAAUAGUCUUGAAUCAAAUAUAAACCAUCAUUUUAAAAUUACCAUGACAGCUAUAGAAUUGCAUUUCAUGGGAUGCUGAAAUGAGUGUGAUAAAGAGUUUUACUCUUAACAGCAAUUGACCCAGUGACAAAAGACCUCAAGCUCAGGUUUAACAGUCAUUUAUUAUUUAUCUAUAGAAUUAUUUUAAGAAAUUUUCUUCCUUUUAAGGUCAUGCUUUUGGAGAUAUACUUCAAGGUAAAAUGUACUAGAAAAAGUAUUUUUUGCAAAGUUGAAGACUAAACCGAAUUUUGUUUUAAGGGAUUAGAAAAAUAAAGCAGUGGUAGAAGUAGGAGUUUUGAGAAUACAAGUCAUCAUAGAGAGUUAAGUGUAAUUGUUUUGUGAAAGUAGUAGAAUGAAUUUCCUAACUUGUCCAUUUCCAUGUUUUCUUAUAGCACUAAGAAAACCUAUUUACCUAUGCAAAAGGAUUGUAAUAAAUUAUUAAAAAUGUAAAUGCUUAACUAAAGAGUGAAUUAAUA
This 1258-nucleotide long non-coding RNA is filed under the name Sarcophilus harrisii (Tasmanian devil). Its description in RNAcentral is "lncRNA (ENSSHAG00000000876.2)". The record is from RNAcentral. Lineage: Eukaryota; Metazoa; Chordata; Mammalia; Dasyuromorphia; Dasyuridae.